GAAACUUCUGCAUAAGUGCCUGUAGGGCAACAGGGAAGCAAGAAAGGGAAGCGUUGCCUUGUGGUACUCUCCAUGCAUCUGGGAACUGUUCCAGCACAGCCCAGGAAGAACAGGCCUGGAAAUCAGUGUGGUGAUUUAUUUCAGAACAGUGUGGCUGAUUUCCAUGCAUCUACUGAACACAGCUGGACAGCCUAUGAUGGCUGCUGUGAAUUCCCAGAGGAAGGCUGCAUGUUUGCAAACACCAGCAACCACAGAUUGCUGCAGGUCCCAAAGCUUUGGAAGGAC
Molecule: long non-coding RNA, 285 nt
Filed under: Parus major (Great Tit)
Lineage: Eukaryota; Metazoa; Chordata; Aves; Passeriformes; Paridae
Description: lncRNA (ENSPMJG00000017703.1)
Source: RNAcentral